This is a non-coding RNA of Camellia sinensis, 578 nucleotides long. Lineage: Eukaryota; Viridiplantae; Streptophyta; Magnoliopsida; Ericales; Theaceae. The record is from RefSeq and is a predicted model, not a curated record.
CACCUAUUUAAUCAGUUGCUCUCAUUUGCAGUAAUUGCAAAUUCGGUCAUGCCUAUCUUUCGAACAAACUGUUGUUACUUUGGACUACAUGUCCACUAUUAACGCCCUCAACACCAAUUUAGCCAGCAUGCUGGUUCUUCUCAUGUUAUUUAUUUCCGAAUUGUUAGUAAUUGUCUAGAUAUUUUUCAUUUUAAUAUUCAUACAUGUAAACUUGGAUGAUUGAUUUUCAGGUUGAGACUACUGAUCCUUUGGUUGGGAAAGCCUGCCAGACGCGAAACAAACACAAUGCCACAUUGGGCUGGUUCAUGCUGGUACUAUUUGAGAUUUAUGGACCCUAAAAAUUCGGAAGCAUUGGUUGAUAAGAUGAAAGAAAUGUAGUGGAGCCCUGCUGAUGUGUAUGUUGGCGGUGCUGAACAUGCUGUUCUUCACUUACUUUAUUCCAGGUUCUGGCACAAGGUUUAUGCUCCCAAUUGUAUUCACUACAAGAAAAUUGGCAUACCAUAGCGUUUAUACAACUUCGUUUUAAAAAAAUGCCAUUUUUUUAGUGGUUUCCGUGUUUUACUUAAAAAAAGAAAAAA